Molecule: microRNA, 21 nt
Filed under: Oryza sativa (Asian cultivated rice)
Lineage: Eukaryota; Viridiplantae; Streptophyta; Magnoliopsida; Poales; Poaceae
Also listed under: 5 other names
Description: osa-miR827
Gene: osa-miR827
Source: miRBase by way of RNAcentral
UUAGAUGACCAUCAGCAAACA